Molecule: non-coding RNA, 2258 nt
Organism: Lolium perenne
Lineage: Eukaryota; Viridiplantae; Streptophyta; Magnoliopsida; Poales; Poaceae
Source: RefSeq, a predicted model, not a curated record
CCGCCGCUAGAGGAGGGCGGCUCCGAGCCAUCGCCGUCGCGCCCCUCCCCUCGACCUACCCAACGUUUCCCACACAAUCCGCUGCCUCCUCUCCUCCCCAAUCCCCUACUCUCUUUCUCAUCCAAUCGCCAAUCCCCUUCUCUCUUCCUCACCCAAAUUCGCCCGAACGGCGAGCAGGCGGAGCCGUAGGGGAUGGCAACGGUGGCGUGCGUGAGGAGGCGCCGCAGGAGCGUGUCCUGGAGGAGUCCGUCCGCGCAGAGGGUGCCCAGCGGUGCGGGAGGCGAGAUAAAUUUCCCCUCUCCCUCCGCCUCUCCUCUGUUCGUCCUCUUGCUCGUACGUGAUGGCGCGCCCAUAAUCCGUCAGAAAGCAGAGAGGGGCGAUUGAUUCAGCUAGCAGCAGCACGGGACCGGCCAGCAGCCUGUUUUUUUGGAGAAGGUCGAGUCACACCGGAGGUGAGAGUCGAAUUUGGCGAGGCGUGGCGAGAUACGUGUGCCUAGAUGCGGUAGGAGCCUUGAAGUAGGAGGCGAUUUGGUCGCCGCUGAGGGCAUCGGUGCCGGCAUGACGACCUCGCGGUGAAGAGCUCCAUGCGGCUCCUCCAUCUGCUACCAUGGAAACUAUGGCUUCUGUGCUUCAGCUCACCCCUUGCUUGUUCGCCUUUUGUGUUGUCCACUUCCAGAACGAUGGCGACACGACGAACGGACCGGCAAUUUGGUGAACAUGAAGAGGUGUGUGCAGGUUGUCUUUCUGGAGGAUUGGGUUAGUUAAAUAGCCGGUGAUCUUUAUUGUGAGAUGAAAUACCUGAUUGCAGUGGCCACUGGUCAGGCACAUGAUCACUUUCCAGUGAACGAUGUCGUGCAAAUGUUGAUGUUCACCUCUGACCAACAAUUUCUCAAGUACAUAUCAGUGUAAAGAUUCUUUUAUCUUGUCUUCUGUCUCUAUCAUUCUUUCUAAAUUGGGUUUCCUUGGUAAAUAAGAACAAUCAAGGACCUAUCUUCUCCAUGAUGAAAAGCCUAUUUUAGCACCUCUUGAUUAGUGUUUUAUUUCUUCUGGAGAAUUUUACACAUUGUUGUAAAAAAAUAUCUAAAAUAUAAAGAUGAAUAUUUAUGGAACAUUUUAUUAGUAAUGAUGGACUUCCAUUGCUUUAUUAUAUGUCAUAUGGGUCUGGCUCAUGCGGCCCUUCAGCCUCACCUAACACAUGACCCUCUUCGUUCCGUGUGGCGCCAUGUGGUAACGAUAUUAGUACAUGCUUAGUUUUUUUCUGCCGCUUUCUAUUUACCUUGAAGCUGUUGUGGCCAGCGGAUGGCCAGCAGUAGCCACCGCUGCAGUCCCGCUACCGCCGAGAGUAAGUUGCUAGGUUUGCACAAUUUUUUAAAUCCCAACUACUAUGACGGCAUGCUAAUAUUAGUUAAUUUUUAAAAUUCUUAAAUAGGCUCAAUUCUUCUUGUUUUCUAAUGUUCCAAGAAUGAAAAAAUUGACGUUAGUAUGUUCUCAAUUCUCAUUUUGACCAUAUCUAAUAAAGAAUUGAAGACAUGCGUUUGGUAAAGUUUAUGAUAUUCUAGGUAUGGUUGACUGUCCUAGCUGUGGCUUGCUCACAUUGAUACUCGCAUAGUGUUACAAUCUGUGUCAAAAACACUUGGUUGCACUUGAAUGUGCUAAUUCUAGGGUAAAAAUACUGAAACUGCUAAGCAUGAGGUAGCAGCAGGUAGUAGUAGCCAUAUUCACCGGAUAGUGGUUAUUUUCCAGGUAAAGUGUAGAUACUAGAGAUAUGGGAUGCCCUAUUUUUAUCAUCGUUAUAGUCACUUCAUGCUGCCGGGAAUUUGUUUCUCUUAUUCUAAGGGGUAAGAUUUUAAAGAGCAGUUAGGGCAUUAUUAGUAACCGCAUGGUGUUUUCGUGUUCAGGAAAAACAACUGCCAUAUACUAUCACAGUUAAAUUUAAAAAUGCUAUGAUGAUAAUGGACCCCAUAUAUGGUGAUUUAGUGUUCAGGAAAAACAAUUGCCACGGUAAUUAAUAGAAAGCACGAACUUCUUAGGUUUUUCAUUGCUCGGGGUUACCAGCUUGUUGCUGCCUUGGUGCUAUUGUUGUUCCCAGUACUUUCUAUAAACUUACAGUAUAUAUUUAUUUUGGACUAUUGGUUGUAUUUUUAUUUUGUUGGCAAUAAAUCAUCUGUUUACAUGUCACAUGACCAUGUCACUACCUUCUAAACAUUUUCCCACUCCCAAGCAAUCUUACCUAUUUAUUGAUAUCUGAUCCCUUUUUC